Long non-coding RNA from Apodemus sylvaticus (European woodmouse), 1611 nucleotides. RefSeq lists it as uncharacterized. The record is from RefSeq and is a predicted model, not a curated record. The transcript has 3 exons. NCBI's taxonomy places the organism in Eukaryota, Metazoa, Chordata, Mammalia, Rodentia, Muridae.
UGACAGGUCGCCCUCCUUUUAAAGACACAGAGUGCUUUUAACUACCAAAGGAGUUAGCAAAAUCCGGAGAGCCGGUCCGGGUUUGCAAAGGCAGAAGGACUUUUAACUAAAACUGCAAACUAAAGUCGUCUGAAAGGUUAGAUGGCCCUCAUUAAUUAAUCAACGAGUUCACAUACGUAUAUUUGUCUCAAGAUCAGAAGACAUGCUCUUAGGAAAUACGUAUCCAGUGACAGUAAGUUACUUUCCUCCUGCCGUCUAGCUACAAAUACUAUUUUACCUCUUUGUAACUCAUGAAUCAGACAGGCGUCCAGGUAAUAUCUGUUGAAUUAAUGAACGUUUGAGAUGGUUGAACAUGGCUCUGGAGAUGUAGGGCUGUGUAGAAGACACAACACUGAACCAGGCGUAUGUGAAUCACCCCGUGGACAAGCUCAUUAUUACUGGACAUCAAACAGGAAAUAUUAUUUAAGGAGCAGAGCCCUGCCUCCCACCUGCCAGGGCACCUUUGGGGAAGAAGCUUUUGAAGUCUGGGAACUGGAGAAUGCAGAGGUGGUACUGGUUUUGAAGGCAUGAAGGGGUCAUGAAGAACAGCUGAGGCCUGGCAUUGUGAGAGGCCAUGGAAGACCAUUGGUGGAGGUGCAGGCUCAGUUGCAGUUGAUGACCGAGGGCUGAAGGGGUCAUGCAAAGGAUUUGAAACUUGGUACCAUGAAGAGAACCUAUCUGAGGCUAUUUGUGAAGCCUAGUUGCAGCGGAAGACCUCAGUGUAUUGGAGAUGCCAGUGCCAUGGGAUGACCACCAAGAACAGCAGAAGCAGUAGAGUGGAUCAGAGCUAUAGAGGGCAGAGCUGGAGAAGUGACCCCAGCCCCUUUGGAGGAGCCCAGAGGAUCAUGUGUGGAUCCCAGACAUUGGAACAAGAAGCUGUAACACUGAAGUUUCCUUGGAGAUCCCAAGUUGUUCGAGAUGCCAGAGCCAUGGACACUCUGCUGUAGAAAGCUGCUUAACAGGACGUGGAACCCACCCAGGAGAAAGAAGUUUGUUGCAGUCAACAAAUAUAAAAAGGAGUUAAAGAUCUGAAGACUGCUUUGACAUCAUCCAUGGAGAUGCAGAGUUUGGAGUUUUCCCAACUGGUUUCUUGCCUUGCUUUAGGGAUUACGGUUAGGUGACUGGAUGGAUCUAAGAAGAGACUUUGAACUUUGGACUUUUAACAUUGCUGAGACUUCUAUAGACUAUGGGGACUUCGGAAGUGGGACUAAUAUAUUUUGCAUUAUGCUGUGUUUAGGUGUGACCCUCAUAGACUCAUAUGUUUGAACCAGCCUAUGACUCAACUUUGACUCCAAAAUUGGCUCUCUCUUCCUCCCUUUGAGGUGGGAGUUGUGUUUUUUGCGUGAAUCUACUCAGCAUCCAUCAAAACCCAGUUUCUCAGUCACUGGGCUGAGAGAGCAUCAAGCUGGACUCUUGCUUCCCCGCUCUUUGGGCAUUGAAUCAAGCUUUUCACUUCUUUACUACAUUUUGGGAACUGACCUCAAAAACCUGCCCAGAGGGUGUGGCAUUUCCCUUGUUUGGGACACUAAUGGAUCAAGAACAUACCAAGAAGAACUUGUUUCUGUUUUUAAA